ACGAACGCUGGCGGCGUGCUUAACACAUGCAAGUCUAACGGAAAGGCCCCUUUGGGGGUCCUCGAGUGGCGAACGGGUGAGUAACACGUGAGUAACCUGCCCUUGACUUCGGGAUAACUUCAGGAAACUGGGGCUAAUACCGGAUAGGAAUCCUUGCUGCAUGGUGGGGGUUGGAAAGCUUCGGCGGUUUUGGAUGGACUCGCGGCUUAUCAGCUUGUUGGUGGGGUAGUGGCUUACCAAGGCUUUGACGGGUAGCCGGCCUGAGAGGGCGACCGGCCACAUUGGGACUGAGAUACGGCCCAGACUCCUACGGGAGGCAGCAGUGGGGAAUAUUGCACAAUGGGCGGAAGCCUGAUGCAGCAACGCCGCGUGCGGGAUGACGGCCUUCGGGUUGUAAACCGCUUUCAGCAGGGGCGAAGCUUGUGGUGACGGUACCUGCAGAAGAAGCACCGGCUAACUACGUG
RNAcentral lists this ribosomal RNA (464 nucleotides) under uncultured bacterium. RNAcentral describes it as "partial 16S ribosomal RNA". It matches the Rfam family "Bacterial small subunit ribosomal RNA", at positions 29 to 507 of the family's 1533-position model. The record is from RNAcentral.